RNAcentral lists this ribosomal RNA (1408 nucleotides) under uncultured Rhizaria. RNAcentral describes it as "SSU rRNA". It matches the Rfam family "Eukaryotic small subunit ribosomal RNA", at positions 384 to 1804 of the family's 1831-position model. The record is from RNAcentral.
CGGAGAGGGAGCAUGAGAAACGGCUACCACUUCUAAGGAAGGCAGCAGGCGCGCAAAUUACCCAAUCCUGACUCAGGGAGGUAGUGACAAGAAAUAACAAUAAACCGGCUUAUGCCGGUUUAAUUGGAAUGAGUACAAUUUAAACAUCUUAACGAGGAACAAUUGGAGGGCAAGUCUGGUGCCAGCAGCCGCGGUAAUUCCAGCUCCAAUAGCGUAUACUAAAGUUGUUGCAGUUAAAAAGCUCGUAGUUGGAUUUCUGCGGGGACGGAGCGGCCGGACGCAACUUGCGUCUCGAGCUAGCGCUUUCCCCGCAUCCUGCCGCGAACCGUGCUACCAUUAGUUUGGUGGCGCUGGGGAUCGGCUCGAUUACUUUGAGAAAAAUAGAGUGUUCAAAGCAGGCCACACGCCUUGAAUAAGUUAGCAUGGAAUAAUGACUAAGGACUUCGGUUCUAUUUUGUUGGUGUUCGGGACUGAAGUAAUGAUCGAUAGGGACAGUUGGGGCGGUCUGUAUUCCAAAGCGAGAGGUGAAAUUCUUAGACCUUCGGAAGACAAACAGCUGCGAAAGCGUUCCGCAAGGAUGUUCCCUUUGAUCAAGAACGAAAGUUGGGGGAUCGAAGACGAUCAGAUACCGUCGUAGUCUCAACUAUAAACUAUACCAGCUAGGGAUCGGCCAACGUUUAAUUAUUCGACUUGGUCGGCACCUUAUGAGAAAUCAAAGCAUCUGGGUUCCGGGGGGAGUAUGGUCGCAAGGCUGAAACUUAAAGGAAUUGACGGAAGGGCACCACCAGCCGUGGAGCCUGUGGCUUAAUUUGACUCAACACGGGAAAACUUACCAGGUCCAGACAUAGGAAGGAUUGACAGAUUGAUAGCUCUUUCUUGAUUCUGUGGGUGGUGGUGCAUGGCCGUUUUUAGUUGGUGGAGUGAUUUGUCUGCUUAAUUGCGUUAACGAACGAGACCCCAGCCUGCUAAAUAGCGCGGCCGAGCUUUGCUCGGUGCGAGCUUCUUAGAGGGACCAUGAUGCGCGAUAGCACAAGGAAGUUUGGGGCAACAACAGGUCUGUGAUGCCCUUAGAUGUUCUGGGCCGCACACGGGCUACACUGGCGCCUGCAACGAGCAUAUCAGCUGGCCCGAGAGGGUCUUGGCUAAUCUUUUGAACCGGCGCCGUGCUUGGGAUUGACCUUUGCAAUUGUAGGUCAUGCAACGAGGAAUGCCUUGUAAACGCGAGUCAUCAGCUCGCAUUGAAUACGUCCCUGCCCUUUGUACACACCGCCCGUCGCUCCUACCGAUGAAUGUUCCGAUGAAAUUUUCGGAGAGCGCCAGAGAACGGGGCUCUGCCUUGCAGAUCUGGAGGCUCAAAGUCACUUAAAUCUGAACAUUUCGAGGAAGGAGAAGUCGUAACAAGGUAACC